RNAcentral lists this ribosomal RNA (374 nucleotides) under uncultured organism. RNAcentral describes it as "partial 16S ribosomal RNA". It matches the Rfam family "Bacterial small subunit ribosomal RNA", at positions 527 to 896 of the family's 1533-position model. The record is from RNAcentral.
GUAGGUGGCAAGCGUUGUCCGGAAUUAUUGGGGCGUAAAGCGCGCGCAGGCGGUUCUUUAAGUCUGAUGUGAAAGCCCACGGGCUCAACCGUGGAGGGUCAUUGGAAACUGGAGAACUUGAGUACAGAAGAGGAAAGCGGAAUUCCAGGUGUAGCGGUGAAAUGCGUAGAGAUGUGGAGGAACACCAGUGGCGAAGGCGGCUUUCUGGUCUGUAACUGACGCUGAGGCGCGAAAGCGUGGGGAGCAAACAGGAUUAGAUACCCUGGUAGUCCACGCCGUAAACGAUGAGUGCUAAGUGUUAGGGGGUUUCCGCCCCUUAGUGCUGCAGCUAACGCAUUAAGCACUCCGCCUGGGGAGUACGGCCGCAAAGGCUG